RNAcentral lists this long non-coding RNA (324 nucleotides) under Cyanistes caeruleus (blue tit). Its description in RNAcentral is "lncRNA (ENSCCEG00000016297.1)". Lineage: Eukaryota; Metazoa; Chordata; Aves; Passeriformes; Paridae. The record is from RNAcentral.
AUGGAAGAGAUGCAUGAUGAUGUCAAGAGAAGACCUAAAAUGAGCUUAGAAGUGGUUACCACCAUGAAGCUGUCCACAGCUUUGGAGCAGGAAUUGAAGCUUCAUAUUACUGGCUGCUGUCAUGAUUACUGGUAAAUGUUAUCAUUAACUCAAAGAUGGUGGACAAACUGUACCAUAUAGACCCUACGUCUUUCUCAGUCACAAGAAUCAUCUUGGAACAAGGGUGUUUUUGGAUCUGUAUCUGUUGGAGAAGGAGACUCAUUUCUGGUAGAAGAAAUUAGGGUGAGUGAAGUGGCAAUGUAAAAUGCAGGGUGACAGAUUAAA